CUCAUAUCAAGGCAUGUGUAGUCUAUUUAUGAAAAAAUGUAGAAAAUUAUAAAAUAUAAUAUGGUAGAUAAAUAAAGAACACAAAGAUGAAUACAUUACCAAAAUUAAAAAAGUGAAAAAAAGAUGAAGAAACUAUUUGGAUUAAAUACAGAUAGAUGAACAGUGUGUCUUUAACAGAAGUGUGGGUGUUUGGCCUGAAAGUUAGGUUGGCAUUAGUAUUUUUUGUUUUUUGUUUUUUUGGCUGUGUCAACAGCUCCAGGACAUGCAUGAUCUUUGUUUUCCGACGAUGCGUGGAACCCAACAUUCUGCAUUUUGGAAGGUGGAGUCUUAACCGCUGGACCGCCAAGACAGUCCCUGCAUCAGUAUUGUUGAAUUUCAAGUCAAGACUCAUGUCCUGGCUUCGUGUGUGUACCAUGCUGGUGUGGUCUCCUAGUCAAACUGGAUUCUGUAAGUAUUGGGGGUUUGUGCAUUAUAGCCACGAGUUCAUCUUCCAUCUGCAUUGUCUUCCUGCAACUUAAACUUCUCAGAUUUCAGCUCAUCU
RNAcentral lists this long non-coding RNA (541 nucleotides) under Capra hircus (goat). RNAcentral describes it as "lncRNA (ENSCHIG00000004416.1)". The record is from RNAcentral. Lineage: Eukaryota; Metazoa; Chordata; Mammalia; Artiodactyla; Bovidae.